RNAcentral lists this long non-coding RNA (414 nucleotides) under Oryctolagus cuniculus (rabbit). RNAcentral describes it as "lncRNA (ENSOCUG00000039110.1)". Lineage: Eukaryota; Metazoa; Chordata; Mammalia; Lagomorpha; Leporidae. The record is from RNAcentral.
AAUCUGUGUCAGCAUUUAAUAUUGUUAGUACUUUUAAUUUUAGUCAUUCUAGUAUGAGUGUAGUAAUACCUUCUUAUGGCUGUAUUUUAUUUUUAAAAUAUUUAUUUAUUUAUUUAUUUUAGGGUGAGAGCAAGCAUGCGAGAGCUCCUAUCCACUGGGUCACACCCCAGAUGCUGCAAUGGCUGGGACUGGACUGGGCUAAAGACAGACAGGCGAAAUUCAGUGUGGAUCUUUCAUGUGGAUGCAGGAACCCAGCGGAGCUAUGAAUGCUGCUUUCCAAGAACUGCAUUGGCAAGAAGCUGGGUUCAGGAGCCCAGCAUCACAUCCAGGUCAGAUUUUGAAGACUUCCGAGAGGUUUUAAAGGCGCGAUCCCCACCAUUUCGGCAUUUCUACAUUCCAUUUUGUUUUAUCUAA